CUCUUAAUAACAAUUAUAUUAAGUAGAAUCUGCCCAAUGACGAUUAAAUGGCCGCAGUAUCCUGACUGUGCUAAGGUAGCAUAAUCAUUUGUCUUUUAAAUAAAGAAUGGAAUGAAAGAUCUGAUAUAGAAUUAUCUGUCUUAUUUAUAAAGCUUAAUUUACGAUUAAAGUUAAAAUACUUUAGAUCUUAAGGGGACGAUAAGACCCUAAAAACUUCAUCUUUAAAAAUCUUAUAUCUAUAGAAUAAAAAGAAAAUAAAAGAUUUUACUGGGGAGGUAAAAUUUAAUUUUAAAUCAAAUUUUGAAAUAACAAUAUGAAUGAAUUUAACAAUCUUAACUAUAACUUUAAUAAUAAGUUACUUUAGGGAUAACAGCAUAAUAUUUUCUAAGAGUCCUUAUCGCUGAAAAUGAUUAUGACCUCGAUGUUGAAUUGAAGUACCUUAACUAAAGCAGUAUUUAUUAAAGGAAGUCUGUUCGACUUAUAACCCUUC
RNAcentral lists this ribosomal RNA (490 nucleotides) under Serolis paradoxa. RNAcentral's name for it is "partial 16S ribosomal RNA". Lineage: Eukaryota; Metazoa; Arthropoda; Malacostraca; Isopoda; Serolidae. The record is from RNAcentral.